UCUGGCUUCCGUUUCGUUUGUUUGAUCCGUUAAACCCUUCGAAGCAAAAACCUCUCUUCCUGUGACCGAUCUUACUUUUCAUGAUCGGAGAAAAUAGCACCAGAGGUUUUCAGAUUUGGUACUAGAAAUGAAUUCCAGAUUACUCCAAACCCUGUAUCGCACGGCACAGAAUCGAGCAUUUACUUCUCGGGUUGGAAGUUCAGCAAACUAUUCAUGUGGCAUCACAAAUGGUGGUUCAGUUAGUCAAUUGGGUAUUCAGAAAACUUCUUUCCUCAGUAACACUCACACUGCUUUUUCACUGGCUCGGGGUCAUAAAAUGAUAAUAUGUUCUGCAGUGGCUGCAGAUUUGUCAAUAUUCUCGCAUGGCAUUGGCAUUAGGUUGGCGACAACACAAGCAAAAGCCCCCCCACAAGCACGUCAAAUGGGAGCCCUCAAAGUUUCCAUGUUGAGUCCUGGAAUUAUCUAUGAACCUUAUUCACCUCGUCAACCAAUCCCAUUUUGGCAGAGAUGGUUCACAAGAAGUGGUUGGAGGAGAACAAAAGACGAUAUCAUUUUAGAGCUAAAAAGUGCUUAUGCAAUUGCAAAAUUAAGAAAGAAGGGGUACUCAAAGAAACAAUUUUACGAAGAGGCAGUAAAUUUAUAUAAAGAGAUAAACACUUUGAUAGCAAAUGGUGACAAAACAUCGUUGAGGAAAGCAGUCACAGAGAAUAUGUAUUCAGCAUUGAAGAAUGAAAUCAAACUCAGAGAAUCCAAAUGGAACAAAGUUUACUGGGAAAUGAUCCUACCAGUUGUCAAGAUCCGCACGUUACGAGCUAGAUUGAUUGGUGUUGAUCGAAGUGACCUUGAAAAGGUUUUCGUACAGCUUACCCUUGAGAUUCUUGCCAAGCAGAAGUUUGAAGCAUACAAUGCUGAAGGUGCUGUCGUUGCUGGAGAUAAAUCUAAGGAGGUCCUUGUCCGUGAUAUCUGGGUAUUUGAGAAAUCACUUUUUCAUGAGGGAGCUUUUUGGCGUCUCUGUGGGCGAAUUCCAAUCUAAUAUCAUCCUUCACAGUAGAAGCUUCUUUAUCCAAUUUUGUAGAUCAACAGCGUGUCGAGUAUCAGCAGCGUUAAGGAGAAAGCUGUGACUUCCAUGCUUUGAAUUGGGAUCUCUUGGAAGGAAGUUUUACCUUACUUUUCAAGGAAUGCCAUAUGAUUCUUCUAUGAUGAUCUUUUUUUUACUCUUCUUAUGUAAGAGAUUGAUUCAUAGGAAGACAAACUCUUUGGGGCGAAGGUUGCAUCCUUUCAAGGAGCUCCAUUCGUCUAAAGACGAUGAUUCUUGUGUUACUCCUUCGCCUAUCAAAGAUAAAAAUGAUAAGAAUCAUCAUUUUGUACCAUUACCUUCUACAAUCAAACAUGCUCCAAAGAAAAUUGUUAGUAUCAAGGAAACGGUCGAGGAUAUUGAUUCUAUUAUGAAGGAAAGGAGGAAGAACAAAGGAACAAAAAAGUCGAAAUCCUUUGAUUUUGAUAAUGAAUAUGAUGGUUCCUUGAAGCCUACUCGGUCGAUUCUCAAGGUUGGUUCAUUAAACGAUAAGUCAGAUUUAUUAAACUCUUUGAAUCGUGUUGAAUAGAGCUAAUAAGAAAGUUGUAGUUUGCAAUUUAACAUUGGAUCAUGAAUAAAUAUGUACAUUAAAUAAAUUAAAGUCGAACUAAUAUGUCAAUAUUUCAAUUCUA
Molecule: RNA transcript, 1707 nt
Organism: Cucurbita maxima (winter squash)
Lineage: Eukaryota; Viridiplantae; Streptophyta; Magnoliopsida; Cucurbitales; Cucurbitaceae
Exons: 14
Source: RefSeq, a predicted model, not a curated record